CUGCUUUGGCAGCACAUAUAGGAAAAUCAUGGCCCCUGCGCAAAGAUAACGUGCAAAUUCACGAAGCGUUCCAUAUUUUU
This 80-nucleotide small nuclear RNA is filed under the name Myotis lucifugus (little brown bat). Lineage: Eukaryota; Metazoa; Chordata; Mammalia; Chiroptera; Vespertilionidae. The record is from RNAcentral.